AGCCAGACCUGCUGGCCACCUCCAGCGAUUUCCUCCGCGUGUGGCGCAUCUCGGGGGAUGAGGACAACUCAGACUCCUCGUCGUCAGUGGAGCUCAAGUCCCUCCUCAACGGCAACAAGAACUCCGAGUUCUGCGGGCCCAUCACCUCCUUCGACUGGAACGAGGCGGAGCCGAAGCGCAUCGGCACCUCCUCCAUCGACACCACGUGCACCAUCUGGGACAUCGAGCGCGAGGCCGUAGACACCCAGCUCAUCGCCCACGACAAGGAGGUGUACGACAUCGCAUGGGGCGGCGU
This 295-nucleotide long non-coding RNA is filed under the name Malus domestica (apple). Its description in RNAcentral is "long non-coding RNA (MDOM_LNC017127)". Lineage: Eukaryota; Viridiplantae; Streptophyta; Magnoliopsida; Rosales; Rosaceae. The record is from RNAcentral.